Molecule: long non-coding RNA, 273 nt
Organism: Sinocyclocheilus rhinocerous
Lineage: Eukaryota; Metazoa; Chordata; Actinopteri; Cypriniformes; Cyprinidae
Exons: 4
Source: RefSeq, a predicted model, not a curated record
GGGUCUUAACAGAGUUAAACAAUAUUCUCUUAGAAACUAUCAUCCACUCCUUACGGGUAUAAAUGGUUAACUGUAAUUAUAAAUACACAAUAACAGCACUGAAAUGUAUAAACAAACUUGUUUCAUUUUAGGUCCAGUUUAAUCUCUGGUCAUGUGUAAAAUCCAAUGGAAGUGGUUCACAGGGUCCAACAGUAGACUGGCACAGUGAGAAGACCAACCAAAUGAGCCGGAAACAAACACUCACAAACUAGAAACAACUAGAAGAAGUCGGGU